GACGAACCGUCCUAACGUUGUUCGGAAUCACUGGGCGUAAAGGGCGCGUAGGCGGGCGACCAAGUCCGGGGUGAAAUCUUUCGGCUUAACCGGAAAAUAGCCUUGGAUACUGGUUGUCUCGAGGGAGGUAGGGGCCGUUGGAACUGCCGGUGGAGCGGUGAAAUGCGUUGAUAUCGGAAGGAACGCCGGUGGCGAAAGCGAACGGCUGGACCUCUUCUGACGCUGAGACGCGAAAGCUAGGGGAGCAAACGGG
This 253-nucleotide ribosomal RNA is filed under the name uncultured bacterium. RNAcentral's name for it is "partial 16S ribosomal RNA". It matches the Rfam family "Bacterial small subunit ribosomal RNA", at positions 524 to 776 of the family's 1533-position model. The record is from RNAcentral.